This is an RNA transcript of Coffea arabica (coffee), 967 nucleotides long. It is a transcript of the gene named superoxide dismutase [Cu-Zn] 2, with no coding region annotated. The record is from RefSeq and is a predicted model, not a curated record. Lineage: Eukaryota; Viridiplantae; Streptophyta; Magnoliopsida; Gentianales; Rubiaceae.
ACAACAUAAAAGACAAAUUUUAAAAUAAAAAUAGAGAAUCGUAACCACUCCAAUAAUAAGAUAAGAAUAAGAUGAUGAAAACUUAGCAGUGGCGAAAGCGGCUGUGCAAAGCCAAUGGGCAUACUGAAAGCGGUGGCUGUAAUCUCCGGCGGUGACACCAACAACAACGUAAGGGGCUCUAUCCAAUUCCUCCAAGACUUCAAUGCAGGGGGCGCGGCGACCCUUGUGAAAGGAAGAAUAACAGGCCUGACUCCAGGCCUCCAUGGCUUCCAUAUUCAUGCUCUUGGUGACACCACCAAUGGCUGCAAUUCCACUGGGCCUCAUUUUAACCCACUGAAAAAGGAUCAUGGAGCACCAUCUGAUCAAAAUCGUCAUGCCGGUGAUUUGGGGAAUAUUAUUGCUGGUGCAGAUGGGGUUGCUGAGAUCUCAAUCAAAGACAUUCAGAUUCCACUUAGUGGUCCACACUCCAUCUUGGGGCGGGGGGUUGUUGUGCAUGCUGAUCCGGAUGAUCUGGGAAAAGCUAAUAAUUGAAGCAUACAACAGGUGGACAUGAACUUAGCAGGACUACUGGAAAUGCUGGUGCGAGGGUUGGUUGUGGGAUUAUUGGGAUUCAGUCAUCGGUCUAGGAUGGAUUCCUUGCAUUCAACAAUAACAAUAGAGUUGCUUGUUUUGUAAUUUUCGCAUGUAGUGUGAGAAGUAAAUGGUACAAUAGUUAUCUAUGCUCGCUCCGCAUUUGCCCAAGCGGUCAUCCUUUCCGUUUCUGAAGAUGUUAUAGAGCUGCUUGAUUGUUCAAUUCAUUGGUCCAUCCAAAUGGGAAAAAUAAUAACAGGAAUUGUAAUUAACCCUUCAAAAUAGUUUUUGGCAAACUUAUGAUUUUACUAGCUAUUGUUAUUCUCCAGUGUAUUCGUGAACACACAACCAAAGGCAAUUUGGAGAUAAAUGCUUUCAAAGAACUGCUACUUCUGCA